Molecule: ribosomal RNA, 500 nt
Filed under: uncultured bacterium
Lineage: Bacteria
Description: bacterial SSU rRNA
Rfam family: Bacterial small subunit ribosomal RNA
Source: RNAcentral
GAUUAACGCUGGCGGCAUGCCUAAUACAUGCAAGUCGAACGGAAGCAGCAAUGCUUUAGUGGCGAACGGGUGAGUAACACGUAGGGAACCUACCUAUACGACGAGGAUAACUACUGGAAACGGUAGCUAAAACUGGAUAGGAUCAAUUGAGGCAUCUUGAUUGAUUUAAAGAUCCUUCGGGAUUACGUAGAGAUGGCCCUGCGGCGCAUUAGCUAGUUGGUGAGGUAACGGCCACCAAGGCGACGAUGCGUAGCUGAGCUGAGAGGCUAAACAGCCACACUGGGACUGAGACACGGCCCAGACUCCUACGGGAGGCAGCAGUAGGGAAUUUUCGGCAAUGGGGGAAACCCUGACCGAGCAAUGCCGCGUGAACGAUGAAGGUCUUCGGAUUGUAAAGUUCUGUGAUUGGGGAAGAAUGGUAUUCUUAGGGAAUGAGGAGUACAUGACGGUACCCGAUUAGAAAGCCCCGGCUAACUAUGUGCCAGCAGCCGCGGUAAAUA